GACAGAGGCCCCAAGCGUUAGGCGGAAUCACUGGGCUUAAAGCGUGUGUAGGCGGAUCGUUAAGUGUCUUGUGAAAUCCCACGGCUCACCCGUGGAACUGCUGGGCAUACUGGCGAUCUUGGGCCAACUAGGGGCAGCCGGAACAAGCGGUGGAGCGGUGAAAUGCGUAGAUAUCGCUUGGAACGCCGAAGGUGAAAACAGGCUGCUGGGGUUGUGCCGACGCUGAGACACGAAAGCCAGGGGAGCAAAUGGG
Molecule: ribosomal RNA, 253 nt
Filed under: uncultured bacterium
Lineage: Bacteria
Description: partial 16S ribosomal RNA
Rfam family: Bacterial small subunit ribosomal RNA
Source: RNAcentral